This 424-nucleotide ribosomal RNA is filed under the name uncultured prokaryote. RNAcentral describes it as "bacterial SSU rRNA". It matches the Rfam family "Bacterial small subunit ribosomal RNA", at positions 961 to 1386 of the family's 1533-position model. The record is from RNAcentral.
GCGAAGAACCUUACCAGGUCUUGACAUACUCGUGCUAUUCCUAGAGAUAGGAAGUUCCUUCGGGACACGGGAUACAGGUGGUGCAUGGUUGUCGUCAGCUCGUGUCGUGAGAUGUUGGGUUAAGUCCCGCAACGAGCGCAACCCCUAUUGUUAGUUGCCAUCAUUAAGUUGGGCACUCUAACGAGACUACCGGUGAUAAACCGGAGGAAGGUGGGGAUGACGUCAAAUCAUCAUGCCCCUUAUGACCUGGGCUACACACGUGCUACAAUGGAUGGUACAACGAGUCGCGAGACAGUGAUGUUUAGCUAAUCUCUUAAAACCAUUCUCAGUUCGGAUUGUAGGCUGCAACUCGCCUACAUGAAGUCGGAAUCGCUAGUAAUCGCGGAUCAGCACGCCGCGGUGAAUACGUUCCCGGGUCUUGUAC